UCUCAUGUUAUGUUCUAUCAGAGUAAAUAACUCACGGACACCAGAGAAGCUUAACCAAGUUGACCUCUUCCCAAAGGGUUGUUACAAAUUAUUAAUUAUUAUUAUUAAUUCAGAACAAAAACAUGGCUUCCCCUGUGGUGGUAUUCAUACCCCACUUUGGGUGGAGUCUCCUCCUUAUCGCUAAACAUGACAUCAUUCUUGCUAAGCAGGGAACUGAGUGAUACGAGCCUUUUACCAGUUUCUCCCCUUAUCAGUAGUGUCACAUCAACUGUUUCCCCUGCACUUAGCACCUCCUUGUCUCCUAUGUAAACUAAUGUUCCUAUACUUCUGAGUAUAACAAUGUUCGAAGUUUAACCCUGAAUCCAACACUCCUGUUACGGCCGGUAUGUACUUCCAAAUAAAAGGUACAUGCAACCAAAAAAAUAUAUAUUUUUAAAUUUGACCUUUUUAUUUAACUAGGUAAGUCGGUUAAGAACAAAUUCUUAUUUUCAAUGACGGCCUAGGAACAGUACUGUUCAGGGGCAGAACGACAGAGUUUUACCUUGUCAGCUCGGGGAUUCGAUCUUGCAACCUUUCGGUUACAAGUCCAACGCUCUAACCACUAGGCUACCCCGCCACCCCAACUGGGAAAAAAAAAUGCCUCUCGUUCAGCACCUCCAAUGUAUUGUGCUGUUGUAGACUUCCGACCUGUGCAUAGCAGUAAGGUUAGUGCUAUCCGGGAUCCUUGGGACGUGAGUGAUUUUAUACUGAACAAAACAUAUAAACGCAACAUGUACAAAAAAAAAGCUUAUCUCAAAUUCUGUGCACAAAUUUGUUUACAUCCCCUUUUUCAGUGAGCAUUUCUCCAAUGCCGGGAUGAUCCAUCCACCUGACCAGGUGUGGAAGAAGUUGAUUAAAACACCAUGAUCGUUACACAGGUGCACCUUGUGCUGGGGACAAUAAAAGGCCACUCUAAAAUGUGCAGGGGAGUGGGUGCUGAGGAGUAUUUGUGUCUGUAAUAAAGCCAUUUUGUGGGGAAAAACGCUAGAUGGCUAAUUAGCACAGGUGUUGGGAGCACGCUAGAUGGCUAAUUAGCACAGGUGUUGGGAGCACGCUAGAUGGCUAAUUAGCACAGGUGUUGGGAGCACGCUAGAUGGCUAAUUAGCACAGGUGUUGGGAGCACGCUAGAUGGCUAAUUAGCACAGGUGUUGGGAGCACGCUAGAUGGCUAAUUAGCACAGGUGUUGGGAGCACGCUAGAUGGCUAAUUAGCACAGGUGUUGGGAGCACGCUAGAUGGCUAAUUAGCACAGGUGUUGGGAGCACGCUAGAUGGCUAAUUAGCACAGGUGUUGGGAGCACGCUAGAUGGCUAAUUAGCACAGUUGGCCGCCUCUUCCGUAAACAAGCGAUGUGAUAUGGCUGUAUGG
Oncorhynchus keta (chum salmon) is the source of this 1404-nucleotide long non-coding RNA. RefSeq lists it as uncharacterized. The transcript has 3 exons. The record is from RefSeq and is a predicted model, not a curated record. Lineage: Eukaryota; Metazoa; Chordata; Actinopteri; Salmoniformes; Salmonidae.